Molecule: long non-coding RNA, 1693 nt
Filed under: Homo sapiens (human)
Lineage: Eukaryota; Metazoa; Chordata; Mammalia; Primates; Hominidae
Description: DPH5 divergent transcript
Source: RNAcentral
GGAGACCAGAGCCCGGCUCCACUGAAGAAACCCGCCGGCUGCUGGGGCAGGGCGGCGAAAGGUCAGUCGGCCGAGAGGAGUCCGUGGAGCCACCGUUUCAUAGCCUCAGGGAAAGGAUCGGGCGUGCUCACGAGCCCUCUAACCCAUGGCUUAAACACCCGCUUCCUAAGCCUGGGUUCUUAUGCCUUUGUUUGAAAAACAUGGUUCCCUGUGAAAUUUUACAUGUAGAAGAAAGCUUCACACUACGAGAGCUCUCAGGAUAUAAUUAUUUCAGACAGAUACUGGGAACAUAAGAUGGCUUAUCAAUCUAAGAUGGCCUUCCUGUCCUUCGGAUUGAACUGAAACCAUCCCUGAUUCCAGGGAUAGGUAGAUGAUCCAGGUUUGGACAAUCAAAAUAUUGAACCACCCUGGACCUACAAGUGUUUCUGGGAUGGGAACAUGCAAACGUUGGUCCAAAUUGUUGUUCUAGGCAGCCCAGUACAUUUCUCCAAUGCCUGAUGGAAUGAUAGGGUAUGCAUAAAUGUUCAUGUGGGCUCUGGAGUAUACCAGGAACUGAAGUAAGGUACAUGGACGUCUUGAAUAUUGUAACUGAGAUGGGCAAGCCUACACCUUUGCAAAUAAAGGAGGAUUGGGAAAGAUUAAGCCUCUCAAGCACUGUGAAAAAUCACUUUCUCUUGUUGUAUUCUUGGAGCCCCUGCUAAUUCAUUAUUGAAAAAUACCUGCUGCCUGCAUUUGGCCUUAUGUUGUCAUUUACUUGGGUCUGUGCAUGGCGUUUAGAAGGCUACACCUUAGGCUGGGGGUCAAGAAUGUCUUCCCUGAUGUGAGGUUUACACAGAGAUCUGAAGAAUGAAGAGUCCAGCUAAGUUAAGUGGGAGCGGAUUAAGGGAAUGCAAGGACAUGAAAGAGUGUCCUAGGCAGAGGGAACAACAUAUACAAAGGCCCUGAGGUGGGAGUGAACAAGGAACUGAGAGAAGAACUGAGAGAAGGCCACUGUGGAAAGCCAGAUGCUGUGUGACAUGAAUAAUGGGACACAGGAAAUUGAGAUAUUAGCAAAAGAGAGAUUGAUGACCCAUAGGCUUGAAGAUGUACUGGAACUAAAGUAAGGGGCGAGGAUAAAUAAAAAGAGGGAGAAAUUGGAGAAACAGAGUGCUUGGAAGCCCUGAUGAAUUUGAGGAAAAGGAUGGUGAUAGAGUUGACCUAGCCAGCUAGAAGAGUAGUACUUUUUAGUCAGUGAGCCCUCCAUCCCAUUUCUCAUUAAUUCUUGUAACACUUUCUCACUUCCUAUAUUCUGUCAUAUUUUAUAGUUGUUUAUAUAAUUAUCUUAUUCUUUAUACCAAUUGUAGUUUCCCUGGGUGCUUAUUAUGGAUUAACAAUUAUAUUAUUAUUAAUAAUAUGGGUGAAUGUUUACAAAGAAAGAAGUCUUUUUUGCUAUUCUUAUUUUAUUUCUUUAAUCUUUGAUCAGGGGUUUUUAUUUAUGAAUUCAUCUUAUAUGUCACUUGACAAACACUGAAUGCUGAAUGCCACAGAGUACAUGACACUUUAGCAGCAUAAAGAAAGGCACCAAAACCAAGCAGCAAACUACAUGCUACAAAACAACAAUUUUUGGAAUUAAUGAAUGAGGCUAAUUUUCUGGAGUCCUCUCUCUCUUUUAAAAUGUAAGAAGUGUUAGUAUGGCCAGGCAUGGUGGCUCAUG